GCUAGCUACAGGCUUAACACAUGCAAGUCGAGGGGCAUCAGGAAGAAAGCUUGCUUUCUUUGCUGGCGACCGGCGCACGGGUGAGUAACACGUAUCCAACCUGCCCUUUACUCGGGGAUAGCCUUUCGAAAGAAAGAUUAAUACCCGAUGGCAUAAUGAUUCCGCAUGGUUUCAUUAUUAAAGGAUUCCGGUAAAGGAUGGGGAUGCGUUCCAUUAGGUUGUUGGUGAGGUAACGGCUCACCAAGCCUUCGAUGGAUAGGGGUUCUGAGAGGAAGGUCCCCCACAUUGGAACUGAGACACGGUCCAAACUCCCACGGGAGGCAGCAGUGAGGAAUAUUGGUCAAUGGGCGCUAGCCUGAACCAGCCAAGUAGCGUGAAGGAUGAAGGCUCUAUGGGUCGUAAACUUCUUUUAUAUAAGAAUAAAGUGCAGUAUGUAUACUGUUUUGUAUGUAUUAUAUGAAUAAGGAUCGGCUAACUCCGUGCCAGCAGCCGCGGUAAUACGGAGGAUCCGAGCGUUAUCCGGAUUUAUUGGGUUUAAAGGGAGCGUAGGUGGACUGGUAAGUCAGUUGUGAAAGUUUGCGGCUCAACCGUAAAAUUGCAGUUGAUACUGUCAGUCUUGAGUACAGUAGAGGUGGGCGGAAUUCGUGGUGUAGCGGUGAAAUGCUUAGAUAUCACGAAGAACUCCGAUUGCGAAGGCAGCUCACUGGACUGCAACUGACACUGAUGCUCGAAAGUGUGGGUAUCAAACAGGAUUAGAUACCCUGGUAGUCCACACAGUAAACGAUGAAUACUCGCUGUUUGCGAUAUACAGUAAGCGGCCAAGCGAAAGCAUUAAGUAUUCCACCUGGGGAGUACGCCGGCAACGGUGAAACUCAAAGGAAUUGACGGGGGCCCGCACAAGCGGAGGAACAUGUGGUUUAAUUCGAUGAUACGCGAGGAACCUUACCCGGGCUUAAAUUGCAGUGGAAUGAUGUGGAAACAUGUCAGUGAGCAAUCACCGCUGUGAAGGUGCUGCAUGGUUGUCGUCAGCUCGUGCCGUGAGGUGUCGGCUUAAGUGCCAUAACGAGCGCAACCCUUAUCUUUAGUUACUAACAGGUUAUGCUGAGGACUCUAGAGAGACUGCCGUCGUAAGAUGUGAGGAAGGUGGGGAUGACGUCAAAUCAGCACGGCCCUUACGUCCGGGGCUACACACGUGUUACAAUGGGGGGUACAGAAGGCAGCUAGCGGGUGACCGUAUGCUAAUCCCAAAAGCCUCUCUCAGUUCGGAUCGAAGUCUGCAACCCGACUUCGUGAAGCUGGAUUCGCUAGUAAUCGCGCAUCAGCCACGGCGCGGUGAAUACGUUCCCGGGCCUUGUACACACCGCCCGUCAAGCCAUGGGAGCCGGGGGUACCUGAAGUACGUAACCGCAAGGAUCGUCCUAGGGUAAAACUGG
RNAcentral lists this ribosomal RNA (1433 nucleotides) under uncultured organism. Its description in RNAcentral is "16S ribosomal RNA". It matches the Rfam family "Bacterial small subunit ribosomal RNA". The record is from RNAcentral.